CAGUCGCCGCGGUAAUACAGAGGGUGCGAGCGUUAAUCGGAUUUACUGGGCGUAAAGCGUGCGUAGGCGGCUUCUUAAGUCGGAUGUGAAAUCCCUGAGCUUAACUUAGGAAUUGCAUUCGAUACUGGGAAGCUAGAGUAUGGGAGAGGAUGGUAGAAUUCCAGGUGUAGCGGUGAAAUGCGUAGAGAUCUGGAGGAAUACCGAUGGCGAAGGCAGCAAUCUGGCCUAAUACUGACGCUGAGGUACGAAAGCAUGGGGAGCAAACAGGAUUAGAUACCCGCGUAGUCCCUGUCUCUUAUAA
RNAcentral lists this ribosomal RNA (301 nucleotides) under uncultured bacterium. RNAcentral describes it as "partial 16S ribosomal RNA". It matches the Rfam family "Bacterial small subunit ribosomal RNA", at positions 509 to 809 of the family's 1533-position model. The record is from RNAcentral.